GCAUGGACGAAUUCUGCACUAGCUUUCCUUGGUAGCUAAUGCAGUCAGACACUAUGCCAGAAUAAAUUCCUCCUUCACACUGAUGGGUGUGCUGUUCAUGUGAGAACAGGCGUGCCUGUGGAAGUGGGAUACAGAG
This 136-nucleotide small nucleolar RNA is filed under the name Merops nubicus (carmine bee-eater). RNAcentral describes it as "Small nucleolar RNA SNORA15". It matches the Rfam family "Small nucleolar RNA SNORA15". From Rfam's summary of the family: ACA15 is a member of the H/ACA class of snoRNA that guide the sites of modification of uridines to pseudouridines. Lineage: Eukaryota; Metazoa; Chordata; Aves; Coraciiformes; Meropidae. The record is from Rfam by way of RNAcentral.